Monodelphis domestica (gray short-tailed opossum) is the source of this 4417-nucleotide non-coding RNA. Lineage: Eukaryota; Metazoa; Chordata; Mammalia; Didelphimorphia; Didelphidae. The record is from RefSeq and is a predicted model, not a curated record.
CCGAACAGAAGGUAACGGCUGCCACGCUGCAUGUUAAAACUAACAAGGAUAAAUCAGAAAUCCACUUAGCGCGGAGCCGGGUGACAUAUUUUAUGUGUGCAUUUCCACUCUCCAAAACGCACCAAGAGGAGGGAGGCAGUAAAGGCGGUGCAUUAAUAUUAGGCAAGAGAGGUGGAAAGAGUAAGUACCUGUGAGGCCAUCCAAUAGAAAAGUGAUCAGUACCCAUUGGAAAUAUACCAACCUCCAUGAAUCCAUGAUGCAGUCCUCCUGCAUGUCUAUAUCACUCUGUAGCUCCAAAGAGUACUUCAUCCUAGUGAUAGUCAAAACCCACUGGAUUUCCUCCUCAUUGUACAUGAAAUCAGCUUCUGAGCGGUUUGUUCUGGGCCUGAAACUGUGUCUUAGCUUUCUUCCCUGAAGGGAUUGUCUACAGACAUCACACAAAGAAAUUAAUUAAGUGGAUUUUCCAUUUGCACAGUUUUAAUGAAUAAAUGAUGUUCCUAUUUGUUUAUCUGUUUUCUAAUUAUAUCGCAAUUCAAAACCAUCUCGGUUUUCUGCAUUUGGAUGAUGUUAUUGUAGUAUGAUUGCUGUUCCAUCAGUGCAGGUAACAUCAUUUUCAAUAGAUGCGGAGUGCAGUCUUCCAUAUUUAUUAAACUGUGAUCUCUAUUAUUAAAAAAAAGUGUCUCUCUUUUCAUUUGACUUAUCUGUAUAGAACCAGAGAAUAGAAUAUCAUGUGCUACAUUAGAGAUUUAAAUAAAUGGACAGCACAGUGCCUGACCAUAGUAGGAGCUUAAUGAAUGUUUGUUGAUUGGAAAAUCUGCAGAGUUUCAAGAACGCGUAUGGUCCAAUCUUGGUGGUUGACUAGGACAGAAGUUCUGGGGCUAAUUUUGUAUUAGGGGACACUUGUAUUACUCAUGUAAUGUUGGCCAAAUUACCGAACCUUCCUAAGUCUAUUUCCCCAUCAUUCAAAUGAGGGGCCUGGAAUAGAUGGCCUCAUCCAUAUUUUUUUUCAUAUGUAAUCUAUGGUUCUGUGAUCCAAUGAAUGUCUGGCCAGGAGUGGCUAGUUGAGGGAGUUCAGUUAAGCAGGAGGACCUAUUAGCUGAGGUUCUAGGCCUGGAGGUAAAGCCAAAAUAGAAGAAAGAGAUAGGCUCCAUAGAUCUAGACACCCAGGGUUCUUGAUCUUUUUUGUGUGUAUCAUGGAUUGUGGGUGAAAUUUAUGGACCCUUCCUCUGAAUAUUAUUUUUAAAACUCUUACCUUCUGUCUUAGAAUUAAUACUAGUAUGAGGGCAGCUAGGUGGCUCAGUGGAUUUAGAACCAGGCCUAGAGACGGGAGAUCAUGGGUUCAAAUCCGACCUCAGAGACUUCCCAGCUAUGUGAUCCUGUGUAAGUCACUUGACCCCCAUUGCUUAGCCCAAUACAUUGUAUUGAUUAUAAGAUGGAAGGUAAGGGUUUUAAAAAAAGAAUGAAUAGAUAUUGGUUCCAAGGCAGAAGAGUAAAUCCAAGUUAAAUUAAGGUUAAGUGGCUUGCCCAGAGUCAUCCAGGUAGAAAGCAUACAAGGCUGGAUUUGAACUCAGGAUUUUCUAGGCCUGGCUAUCUAUCCAGCUGCCCCCCAGAAUAUUAUUUUAAAGGUGAUAAAAUAAAAAGAAUAGGGAUAUAAUAAAAUUGAAAUAAACUUUAUUAAAAUACAGUUACCAUAAUUUUAAAGAAUGCUUAUAGAUAGACUGUUGGUUAAGAACUCCAAAUAAUGAGGAGAAAAGGAUAUAGAAAUGUCUUCUGAGAAAGGAGGCAUGGUCUCAAUGGCCUCUAAGUACCCCUUGAAAUCUAAGUCUAUGGUGCUAUAGAAACCCCUUCUCACCUGACUGACAAGUGGCCAGCUUUUCCAGAACUUAGGAAUCCUUCACCCUAGUCAGCCUUGUUCCUCACCUUCUGCAAAGUCAUAUUCAUUAUAGUCACCUAAAGGUUUCCGUGCUACAGCUCAGCUCACCCACACACUAUCUGUGGUCUUCUUCACUCAACCUAAUCUGAGUGGUCCAGAUGGGCAAAAUGGCCCUAUCACUCUGCUGGCCUGGGACUCUGAAGGCAAAGAGCUUCCUAUGCUACUAGGAGAAGCGGCAUUUUUGUCGAUCAAUCAUCAGUGAGAUUUUAUUAUACACCUCUUAUGUGUUAGGCACUGUGCUGGUCAUUAGAAAUACAAAUUUGAGGGCAGCUGGGUGGCUCAAGGGAUAGAAUGCCAGGUCUGGAAUUAGGAAGACCUGAGUUCAAAUUUGACCUGGACUUCUUCCCUGAGUGACUCUGGGCAAGUCACUUAACCCCAAUUACCUAGCUCUUGCUGUUCUUCUGUCUAAGAAUUUGAUACAAAGACAAAAGAUAAUGUUUUAAAAGGAAAAAAAAGGGGGGGGAACAAAUUCUACUUGCAAAGAACUUUCAUGCCAGUCAGAGAGGUAAGUGAAAUAUUUGUUGUAUAUACAUAUAUGUUUACAUCUAUAUGUUUACAUAUGCAUAGAAGAAAUAUAAAGUUAAAAAAUGAAAAUAUAUAAAAAGUUAAUCAAAUGGUAGUUUAAAAGGGAGGACACUGGUAACUGGAGAGAAUCAGGAAAAAUUCAGACAAAAGAUGGUGAAUAAAUUCAAUUAUAUGUUGAAAAAUAUUUAAAAACUAGCCACACCUCAAAAAUAUAGAUAUAUAAACAGACAGAUAGAUAGAAAGACAGAUAGGUAGACAGAUAAGAUAGAGAGACAGAUAGAGGGAUGGAUGGAUGAAUAGAUAUUGGUAGAUAGACAGGCAGAGAUAGAUGAUAGAUAUUGAUAGAAAAAUAGAGACAGACAGAGAGACAGAUGAUAGCUAGAUAGAUGGAUAGAUAGAUAUUGAUAGAGACAAAUGAUAGAUAGGUAGAUAGAUAGAGAGAUGGAUGGAUAGGCAGGCAGAUGGAUGGAUAGAUAGACAGACAGACAGACAUAGAGAUAGAUGAUAGAUAUUGAUAGAAAAAUAGAGACAGACAGAGAGACAGAUGAUAGCUAGAUAGAUAGCUAGAUAGAGAGAUAGAUGGAUGGAUAGGCAGGCAGGCAGAUGGAUGGAUGGAUAGAUAGAUACAUAGACAGACAGACAGACAUAGAUAGAGGUAGAUGAUAGAUAUUGAUAGAAAAAUAGAGACAGAGAGACAGAUGAUAGAUAGAAGGAUAGAUAGGGAGAUAUUGAUAGAUAGACAGGCAAAUAUUGAUAGAAAAAUAGAGACAGACAGAGAGACAGAUGAUAGACAGACAGAAGCCAGACAGAUAGAUUAAUAGAUAGAUUAAUAUAGAUAGAUUAAUAGAUUGAUAGGUGAUAGACAUCGAUAGAGACAUAGAUGAUAGACCGAAGACAGUUAGAUAGAUAUAUAGAUAUAGUAUGUAUAUACACAUACAUAUACUCAUGACAUACUUUAAGUUCAGUCUAUAAUGCCAUUUUCUCCAUUAUUUGGAUAGGGAAGUUAUAAUGUAACUUUUCUAGUCAUAUGGCUAAUAAUUGCUAAAGACAGGUGCCGAGUUAAAGGUUUACUGAUCUAGCACUUAAUAAAGUGCUUGGCAUAUAGGUGGAAAAAUUCUGAAUUUCUUAAUCUAAACAAUGAACAAAAUAAAAAAUUUAGCUUGAGCCAGUUCAAACUGGCUCUACCACACCCCUGCUUGAGCUCCAUUUUAAAGGAUCAGAGGGAACCUUUGAAGCAGGGAUAAUGAGUCCAUGGGAUUUAGGUUCUACCAUACUAGGAAUAGGAAGACCUAGAGAAAGAUGAAACUGAUGGUAAAUCUAAAGGAAUCAUGAAAUAAUAGAUGUAGAAUUACGCAAAGGCCAUCUAGUCCAAACUCCUCAUUUUACACACAAGGGAACUGAGGCUCAGGAAAGAUAAGACUUGCCCAAGUGUACAUAAGUAGUGUCAAAGGUGGGAUUUGAACUUGGGCCAUCUGACUUCAAAGCCAGGGCUAUUUCUUCAAUGCAGCUUUAUUUCCACUCUAUCUUGCCUCAGUCACUAUCUCACCUGUGUGAAUCUGUGCCAGUUAGUGUUUUUCUCUACCAAUUCAUUUUCUCCUCUGUAAAACUGGGAGGUCUCCUUCAAUGAUCUUCAGUGAGUCUUCCAGCUCUGACAUCCUCUGAGGUAUCAAUUUCUAUUCUCAUGUCCCACCUAUCUAAUUUCACUAAGACCCUCAUGAUUUAAUCCAGUGGCCUUUCCUCAGCAUCUCUCAUUUUGUUUACUUCCCAGACUCAUUGCUCUCUCUGCUGUUUAUCCUCUGUCUUGUUUACUCUCAGCCAUCACUCCUGUUGGUUUUAGCUAGCUUGUUUUCUAGUGGAAUUUUUUAGUAAGAUCUCUUUGCUCUUUCUGUUUGAUGAUGCUUGGCCUGUCCUUCUUGACUGGGUGAAAACAAGGAUAUAGAAGUUUCCGAGUUCUCUGCC